CUAAAAACCAAGCUGCGGAGAGCGGUAGGCGUGUUGGGCUAAAGGACAUGGACGGACAAGGGCCUUUGGCUGGAUGUGAUCUUUUGAGACCAGUCUGUGGUAGGGGUACCACCACUGGGUGACCACCCGUCCCCUAAUUGGGCGGGACAGUCCCAGAAUGCGAUCAUCAUAGUCCCGGCCCCAGGCUGCACGACUCGAAGACGCUGUUUGUCCCAGAUUUGCAGCAGUGUCUCGGGAUCCAGGUUUCUCCUUGCAGCUUGGCAGUGUUCCAGCUUGCAAGGGGCUGCUGGGAGCAGGGUGCAGGGGGCGCCACACACACCUGCACAUGGACAGGAAACAGCCAGCCAGUGUGAGGGGCAACUCUCUGCAGGAAUUGGAACCCCUACUCAGAACACUCUGAAGAAAGCCUGAAGAGAUCCUGUCAUCAGUCCAAGAUCCUGUCUUAACAUCAGACGUAGGAACCAGGAGACCCGGACAAGAUUUCAAGGCCUGAUCAACCAGUAAAGCUGCGUUUACAAUAUUUCGGGGUGGUGAGCAUCUGCCUUGACUAGCUACAAACCUAACAUUUUUAACUGCUACUCCAAUUUUAAUUAGAAUUGUAUC
This is a long non-coding RNA of Alligator sinensis (Chinese alligator), 603 nucleotides long. RefSeq lists it as uncharacterized. Lineage: Eukaryota; Metazoa; Chordata; Crocodylia; Alligatoridae. The transcript has 3 exons. The record is from RefSeq and is a predicted model, not a curated record.